GCGAGUCAUUGUAGUGAUACAAGGCAGACGGCUCAGUAACGCGUCCUUACCUAACCUAUGGACGGGAAUAACCUCGGGAAACUGACUAUAAUGCCCGAUAGAACAUUAUACCUGGAAUGGUUUAUGUUCCAAAUGAUUUAUCGCCGUAGGAUGGGACUGCGGCCUAUCAGUUUGUUGGUGAGGUAAUGGCCCACCAAGACUAUUACAGGUACGGGCUCUGAGAGGAGUAGCCCGGAGAUGGGUACUGAGACACGGACCCAGGCCCUAUGGGGCGCAGCAGGCGGGAAAACUUUGCAAUGUGCGAAAGCACGACAAGGUAAAUCCGAGUGGUUUCU
RNAcentral lists this ribosomal RNA (335 nucleotides) under uncultured crenarchaeote. Its description in RNAcentral is "bacterial SSU rRNA". It matches the Rfam family "Archaeal small subunit ribosomal RNA", at positions 53 to 393 of the family's 1478-position model. Lineage: Archaea; Thermoproteati; Thermoproteota. The record is from RNAcentral.